RNAcentral lists this small RNA (512 nucleotides) under Pongo abelii (Sumatran orangutan). RNAcentral's name for it is "processed transcript". The record is from RNAcentral. Lineage: Eukaryota; Metazoa; Chordata; Mammalia; Primates; Hominidae.
GCAUUUCAUUUCUCACCUUUUCUAUUUUUUUUUUCAUUUCAGAGGGUUUUGGAAAAUGAUGAAAAUGUAGAAGAAGGGAAUGAAGAAGAGGAUUUGGAAGAGGAUAUUCCCAAGCGAAAGAACAGGACUAGAGGACGGGCUCGCGGCUCUGCGGGGGGCAGAAGGAGGCACGACGCCGCCUCUCAGGAAGAUCACGACAAACCUUACGUCUGUGACAUCUGUGGCAAGCGCUACAAGAACCGACCGGGGCUCAGCUACCACUAUGCUCACACUCACCUGGCCAGCGAGGAGGGGGAUGAAGCUCAAGACCAGGAGACUCGGUCCCCACCCAACCACAGAAAUGAGAACCACAGGCCCCAGAAAGGACCGGAUGGAACAGUCAUUCCCAAUAACUACUGUGACUUCUGCUUGGGGGGCUCCAACAUGAACAAGAAGAGUGGGCGGCCUGAAGAGCUGGUGUCCUGCGCAGACUGUGGACGCUCUGCUCAUUUGGGAGGAGAAGGCAGGAAGGA